This 770-nucleotide ribosomal RNA is filed under the name uncultured bacterium. RNAcentral describes it as "bacterial SSU rRNA". It matches the Rfam family "Bacterial small subunit ribosomal RNA", at positions 33 to 805 of the family's 1533-position model. The record is from RNAcentral.
ACGCUGGCGGCGUGCCUAACACAUGCAAGUCGAGCGAAGUUUAUUAAAGGAAGUUUUCGGAUGGAAUUUAAUAAACUUAGCGGCGGACGGGUGAGUAACGCGUGGGCAACCUGCCCUGUACAGAGGGACAACAACGGGAAACCGUUGCUAAUACCUCAUAAAACCCUAAAGGGGCAUCCCUUAUGGGUCAAAGAAUUUCGGUACAGGAUGGGCCCGCGUCUGAUUAGCUAGUUGGUGAGGUAAUGGCUCACCAAGGCGACGAUCAGUAGCCGACCUGAGAGGGUGAUCGGCCACACUGGAACUGAGACACGGUCCAGACUCCUACGGGAGGCAGCAGUGGGGAAUAUUGCACAAUGGGGGAAACCCUGAUGCAGCAACGCCGCGUGAGCGAUGAAGGCCUUCGGGUCGUAAAGCUCUGUCCUAAGGGAAGAAAUUUGACGGUACCUUAGGAGGAAGCCCCGGCUAACUACGUGCCAGCAGCCGCGGUAAUACGUAGGGGGCAAGCGUUAUCCGGAAUCACUGGGCGUAAAGGGUGCGUAGGCGGUCUUACAAGUCAGGGGUGAAAGGCUACGGCACAACCGUAGUAAGCCUUUGAAACUGUAGGACCUGAGUGCAGGAGAGGAAAGUGGAAUUCCUAGUGUAGCGGUGAAAUGCGUAGAUAUUAGGAGGAACACCAGUGGCGAAGGCGACUUUCUGGACUGUAACUGACGCUGUGGCACGAAAGUGUGGGGAGCAAACAGGAUUAAAUACCCUGGUACUCCGCACCGUAA